CGCGGCCUAUCAGCUUGUUGGUGAGGUAACGGCUCACCAAGGCAAUGACGGGUAGCUGGUCUGAGAGGACGAUCAGCCACACUGGAACUGAGAUACGGUCCAGACUCCUACGGGAGGCAGCAGGAGGGAAUCUUGCGCAAUGGGCGAAAGCCUGACGCAGCGACGCCGCGUGGGGGAUGAAUGCCUUAGGGUUGUAAACCCCUUUCACGAGGGAAGAAACUGACGGUACCUCGAGAAGAAGCCCCGGCCAACUACGUGCCAGCAGCCGCGGUAAUACGUAGGGGGCGAGCGUUGUCCGGAUUUAUUGGGCGUAAAGGGCUCGUAGGCGGCUUGGCAAGUCGGCCGUGAAAACCCAGGGCUCAACUCUGGGACGCCGGUCGAUACUGCCAUGGCUAGGGUCCGGUAGAGGGGAAUGGAAUUCCCGGUGUAGCGGUGAAAUGCGCAGAUAUCGGGAGGAACACCAGUAGCGAAGGCGGUUCCCUGGGCCGGCACCGACGCUGAGGAGCGAAAGCGUGGGGAGCAAACAGGAUUAGAUACCCUGGUAGUCCACGCCGUAAACGUUGGGUACUAGGCGUGGCGUCUUAUCAACGGAUGCCGUGCUCGAAGCUAACGCGUUAAGUACCCCGCCUGGGGAGUACGG
Molecule: ribosomal RNA, 640 nt
Filed under: uncultured bacterium
Lineage: Bacteria
Also listed under: 1 other name
Description: bacterial SSU rRNA
Rfam family: Bacterial small subunit ribosomal RNA
Source: RNAcentral